CGGACGGGUGAGUAACGCGUGGGUGACCUGCCUCACACUGGGGGAUAACAGUUAGAAAUAGCUGCUAAUACCGCAUAAGCGCACGGUUCCGCAUGGAACAGUGUGAAAAACUCCGGUGGUGUGAGAUGGACCCGCGUCUGAUUAGCCAGUUGGCGGGGUAACGGCCCACCAAAGCGACGAUCAGUAGCCGGCCUGAGAGGGUGAACGGCCACAUUGGGACUGAGACACGGCCCAA
RNAcentral lists this ribosomal RNA (235 nucleotides) under uncultured bacterium. RNAcentral describes it as "partial 16S ribosomal RNA". It matches the Rfam family "Bacterial small subunit ribosomal RNA", at positions 99 to 334 of the family's 1533-position model. The record is from RNAcentral.